CGGCGAAGUUGAAGCGGUAAAAGCUCAAAUUAUGAAAUCCUGGUACUUAAAGUGCCCGAGUCUGUAAUUCUGUAGAAUUUUGUCUUUGAUUAGGUCCUUGUCUAUGUUCCUUCGGAACAGGACGUCAUAGAGGGUGAGAAUCCCGUUUGGCGAGGAUACCUUUUCUCUGUAAGACUUUUUCGAAGAGUCGAGUUGUUUGGGAAUGCAGCUCAAAGUGGGUGGUAAAUUCCAUCUAAAGCUAAAUAUUGGCGAGAGACCGAUAGCGAACAAGUACAGUGAUGGAAAGAUGAAAAGAACUUUGAAAAGAGAGUGAAAAAGUACGUGAAAUUGUUGAAAGGGAAGGGCAUUUGAUCAGACAUGGUGUUUUUUGCAUGCACUCGCCUCUCGUGGGCUUGGGCCUCUCAAAAAUUUCACUGGGCCAACAUCAAUUCUGGCAGCAGGAUAAAUCAUUAAGAAUGUAGCUACUUCGGUAGUGUUAUAGCUUUUUGGAAUACUGUUAGCCGGGAUUGAGGACUGCGCUUCGGCAAGGAUGUUGGCAUAAUGGUUAAAUGCCGCCCGUCUGA
This 563-nucleotide ribosomal RNA is filed under the name Hanseniaspora uvarum. Its description in RNAcentral is "eukaryotic LSU rRNA". It matches the Rfam family "Eukaryotic large subunit ribosomal RNA", at positions 87 to 656 of the family's 3401-position model. The record is from RNAcentral. Lineage: Eukaryota; Fungi; Ascomycota; Saccharomycetes; Saccharomycodales; Saccharomycodaceae.